GACGAACGCUGGCGGCGUGCUUAACACAUGCAAGUCUACGAGAACGAGGUAGCAAUAUCUUUAUUAAAGUGGCGCACGGGUGCGUAACACGUAAGCAAUCUACCUUUGGGUCUGGAAUAACUUCGAGAAAUCGAGGCUAAUACCGGAUAAUGCAGCGGCACCGCAUGGUGAUGUUGUUAAAGUUUGAGUAAUGCCUAUAGAUGAGCUUGCGUCUGAUUAGCUAGUUGGUAGGGUAAAGGCCUACCAAGGCUACGAUCAGUAGCUGGUCUGAGAGGAUGAUCAGCCACACUGGAACUGAGACACGGUCCAGACUCCUACGGGAGGCAGCAGUGAGGAAUAUUGGGCAAUGCCCGCAAGGGUGACCCAGCAACGCCGCGUGGAGGAUGAAGGCCGUAAGGUUGUAAACUCCUGUUAGAGGAGAAGAACAGUACCGAUUGGAUCGGUAUUUGACUGUACCCUCAGAGAAAGCCCCGGCUAACUACGUGCCAG
Molecule: ribosomal RNA, 489 nt
Filed under: uncultured bacterium
Lineage: Bacteria
Description: bacterial SSU rRNA
Rfam family: Bacterial small subunit ribosomal RNA
Source: RNAcentral